Haliotis rubra (blacklip abalone) is the source of this 158-nucleotide long non-coding RNA. RefSeq lists it as uncharacterized. The record is from RefSeq and is a predicted model, not a curated record. NCBI's taxonomy places the organism in Eukaryota, Metazoa, Mollusca, Gastropoda, Lepetellida, Haliotidae. The transcript has 3 exons.
UUGAGGGUGGUUGCGUUCAGCUAACAAUGUUAAUAUCAGAAAACAAUAUGGGAAACGCUUUUAAGUUCAUCAAUCGUGAAGGGUUCUCCCGUACGGCUUAUAUGCCAAGUAAUAACUUCAUAUACCCAUGAAGAAAAUAUGUGGAAAAAAAUAAUUGU